AGAGAACCCUGGUUAAGGAACUCUGCAAAUUGACACCGUAACUUCGGGAGAAGGUGUGCCGCUGGCGGUUAGUGACUUCGCGUCACGAAGCUGUUGGUGGUCGCAGUGAAAUGGCGGUUGUGACUGUUUACUAAAAACACAGGACUCUGCGAAGUCGUAAGACGACGUAUAGGGUCUGAUGCCCGCCCGGUGCUGGAAGGUUAAGGGGAUGUGUCAGAGCAAUCGAAGCAUUGAACCGAAGCCCCAGUAAACGGCGGCCGUAACAAUAACGGUCCUAAGGUAGCGAAAUUCCUUGUCGGGUAAGUUCCGACCUGCACGAGGGCAUAACAACAUCCGCACUGUCUCGACCAGGGACUCAGCGAAAUUACAUUGGGGGUGAAGAUGCCCUCUACCCGCGGAAAGACGGAAAGACCCCAUGAACCUUUACUGCAACUUGGCAGUGAUUUUCGGGUUGUUCUGCGUAGGAUAGGUGGGAGGCUUUGAAGUCGGGCUUCCGGGUUCGACAGAGCCAACGUUGAAAUACCACCCUGAAUAAUCUGGAAAUCUAACCUGCGCCCAUGAUCUGGGCGAGGGACACUGCCUGGUGGGCAGUUUGACUGGGGCGGUCGCCUCCUAAAUUGUAACGGAGGCGUGCGACGGUUCCCUCAGGCUGAUUGGAAACCAGCCGUAGAGUGCAAACGCAUAAGGGAGCUUUACUGCGAGACUGACAAGUCGAACAGUUGCGAAAGCAGGUGUUAGUGAUCCGGUGGUACCACAUGGAAGGGCCAUCGCUCAUCGGAUAAAAGGUACUCUGGGGAUAACAGGCUGAUCGCGCCUGAGAGUUCACAUCGGCGGCGCGGUUUGGCACCUCGAUGUCGGCUCAUCGCAUCCUGGGGCUGGAGCAGGUCCCAAGGGUUUGGCUGUUCGCCAAUUAAAGCGGUACGCGAGCUGGGUUUAAAACGUCGUGAGACAGUUUGGUCCCUAUCUUCCGUGGGCGCAGGACACUUGAGAGGAGCUAUCCAUAGUACGAGAGGACCUGGAUGGACGAACCUCUGGUGCUCCGGUUGUCACGCCAGUGGCAUAGCCGGGUAGCCAUGUUCGGAACAGAUAACCGCAGAAGGCAUAUAAGCGGGAAGCUGGCCUCAAGACUAGGUGUCCCUGACGCAAGUCACUAAAGGCCCCUCGAAGACUACGAGGUUGAUAGGCUAGGUGUGGAAGCACAGCGAUGUGCGGAGCUAACUAGUACUAAUAGGCCGUGCGACUUGACCUC
Molecule: ribosomal RNA, 1249 nt
Filed under: metagenome
Description: bacterial LSU rRNA
Rfam family: Bacterial large subunit ribosomal RNA
Source: RNAcentral